UAGUCCUACAGCAGAGUAGCGCCCACGCACACAUGACCCGGCCAUGGCCACUAAUCCAUGCAUGCACGCACCACUUCCGGCCACUAGCUAACUAAUCCACCCAUGCACUAAUAAACUUACUUGACCGGCCCACGCAAGUAGGUAGCUUAUCCAUCCGUUGCAUGCACGGAAUAGUCAACAAUGCAUGCAUUGACUACUGCCACUACGUCACACACGCACGCACAUCUACGCCACAUCGCCGAUGCGUCCCGCGCGCCACUGACACGCCUGACGAACCCGACGAGCCCGACGGCACAAGUGUGUCCCGUCCGUUCCGCGCGUACCCUACGCGCCCGACGAACCCGACUACACAUGCCGUGGCUUAUUCCAACACACACCCCCUAAGCCACGGCCUAGAGGAGUCCGUCGUCGUCGGCGUUGGCACCGGCCAAGAGAGCCUGCUCCGCCCCCGGUCCUUUCCGCAGCUGCGGGCACUCGCGCCGGAAGUGCCCGUGCUCCCCGCACUUGUAGCAGCGCCUGCACCUGUUGCCGCCGCUCCCCGACGCCAUGCUGCGCCCGUCGUCGUCGUCCCGAGCACUGCCGUGUCGACGCUCCCGCGCUGCCCACUGCGCCGCCGUCAUGAGCAGCUGCUCACCCCCGCGCUCGCCGCCGGCUUGUCCACGGCGCCGAACCCGCUCGUCGAACGCCAUCGUCGUCAUGUCGUGGAACUGCUCGAUGCCGACGACGACGGGGAAGAGGCAAUCCGGCACCGUAUCCAGCAACUUCUUGACAAGUGCUACGUCGCCCAGCGUCUCCUCGAGGUUGGCAUACCUCGCCGCCAUCGCCGCGAGCCUCCCGCCGUACACGUCGAGCUCCUCGCCGUCCGCCAUCUUCAUCCGGUCGAAUUCGCCGCGCAGCGUCCCCAGCCUCGCCGCGCGGACCCGAUCGGCGCCAAUGAACCUCACCUUCAGGGAGUCCCAUACCUCCCUGGCGAUGAGCUUCGUCGACACCUGCAGCAGCACAUCCUCCGGCAACGCCCCGAGAAGCAACGCCCGAGCCAUCUUGUCCUUCCGCGUGUUCACCGCCGCGUCGCCCGGUGCCACCGCCUCCCAUACGGUGUGGACGUCGAGGAUCGCCUGCGCCUUGAUGGCCCAGACCAUGUAGUUGUCCGCGGUCAGCAUCGGCAUCGCCAUCGUCGCCGAUCCGCCCGCGCCGCCGCCGUGUGGGACGAGCGCCAUGGUCGCCAGUGAUCGCCCGAACCAAAGCUCUGAUACCAAUUGUUGAAACCGAGGAUUGCCGGACAAUCACAGGAACACGAGGAGAUGAAUUUUGCAGGGCGACAAACACCCGCGGCGAUGAACGCCCGCCCCGGCAACGAACGCCGGGGCCCUUUUUUUCUCUCUAUAUUUCUUCACCUCGGCUCCGCAGCCCCGUUACUAUUCCCAAAGUAUUGACUGGAUUUACAAACAAACUUGUGACCAUGCUUUGUAGUCCUACAACAGAGUAGCGCCCACGCACACAUGACCCGGCCAUGGCCACUAACCCAUGCAUGCACGCACCACUUCCGGCCACUAGCUAACUAAUUCACCCAUGCACUAACAAACUUACUUGACCGGCCCACUCAAGUAGGUAGCUUAUCCAUCCGUUGCAUGCACGGACUAAUCAACAAUGCAUGCACUGACUACUGCCACUACGUCACACACGCACGCACACCUACGCCACGUCGCCGCUGCG
Molecule: long non-coding RNA, 1713 nt
Filed under: Triticum aestivum (bread wheat)
Lineage: Eukaryota; Viridiplantae; Streptophyta; Magnoliopsida; Poales; Poaceae
Description: long non-coding RNA (TAES_LNC026338)
Source: RNAcentral